This 715-nucleotide unclassified non-coding RNA is filed under the name Hevea brasiliensis (rubber tree). Lineage: Eukaryota; Viridiplantae; Streptophyta; Magnoliopsida; Malpighiales; Euphorbiaceae. The record is from RNAcentral.
GGGAAGACCAGUUUCAUUUGUCCAGUUUACACAAGAAAGUCCUUGAUACAUUAGUUGGCGAAUAGUUGUGUCUCUCCAACAAAGAAUGGAGGACAUGCCAAGGGCAGAAGCUUAAGCAACUGAGACAUAAUAAUAGGACUUGUCCUGUUACAUAAAAUGAGGGCCUCUGCAAUCUGGUGCCAACCAGAGGCCUGAACUCCAACUUCAAGAUAGCUUAUUAUAUAAGCACAUUUGAAAUCUGUGAUAGCUUUGAAUUUGAUUUUAGUUCAAACAGUAUCAGUUGAGAUUUGGCUUGAGAAGGAAGACGAACAGAAUUAGAGUGCAUUAAAAAUUAAACCUUUUUAGCAGGAAUUUCAAAUUCAUCCUAAACACAAUAACUUAUCCACAUCCAAGAAUCUACCUCAUCAAAGGAAUCCCAUAUAUUGUAAAGGUCAUCAAAGCACUUUAAACUAACAUCAAAUUAAAAUGCUGAUUACCAGAUAACAAUUCACAAGACAGAACAAUUACAUGUUAUCCCAUAAACUGCAACAGCAAUACUAAGUUUGCAUAAACAUUUUUCACUCUAAAAAACACUUGUCCCAAAAUUAGUUAAGGAGCGAUAGAUGCUUUUCAAAAAAAAUUCCCACAAGUACAAGCCAACCCAUCAUUUAGUUUCCUGCAAAUAACCCAAACCACCCAUAAAAAUUCCUUAUCCCGAUAUUAAACUCAAAACACA